GCAACAGCAACAACCAGGCCCAGUCGAAGAGGGCGCCGCUUCCUCACAAGUUCCAUGAGAUAGUCGCGCAGGCGGCGACGACGACGACGGGCGGCACUCCUGCAGCUGCCGCCGAACUGGAGGAUCAGGUGUACAGCACGGGGGUCUACCUUGCUGGCAAAACGAAGGUAAGUUUCUGUUUCAGGAUUCGUCAAAAAAAAAAAGUUUGUUUCAGGCACGAACAAGUAUACACCUGAACCUUUGAUGCUUACUACUGUAGUAGGAGUCAGUAGAUCGCUACUGAUGCAAUAUGCUCUGAUUGAUGGUGAUGCAGAAGUACUGGGUGCACGAGAAAACCAGGUGCAACUGCUUCAUGCUGUUCGCUAGGGCACUGUCCAUCACUUGGAGCGAUGAUCCC
This 397-nucleotide long non-coding RNA is filed under the name Sorghum bicolor (sorghum). Its description in RNAcentral is "long non-coding RNA (SBIC_LNC004067)". Lineage: Eukaryota; Viridiplantae; Streptophyta; Magnoliopsida; Poales; Poaceae. The record is from RNAcentral.